GGGAGGGCACAGCGCGCGCGUGCGUAACGUGUGACGUUUGCCGUGCGCGUGCGCAUGGCGUUUGAUGUGUGCGUGUGCGCUUUUUGUGCGCUGGGCCGGUGGGGAGGGGGCGGGGCUGCGGGGGAGAACUACUGCGCCAGGUCCGCGACAAAUGAAUUAGACACAAUUAUCCACGGGAGACUCGGUUUUCCACUCUGUAAAUUACGGAUAUUAGGAAUACUUGCCGCCUUGGGUUGUUUUGAGCACUUUCAUUGUUUAGGUGCUGUAUUUAUUGGGUGUGCGUUCCCUGGGAGAGCCCGGGGUAGGGCCUCUCUGCCCGUGGAGUGCGGGAGCGAAGGGGCUGGCCUAGCUGACCACCGGGGCCCCUUCUGGCUCUGACCGCCCUCGUAUCCCAAGUAAUUAUUUACACGUUGCGCGUUCAUUUAUGUAUUAUGUGUAAUCAUGGCACAGUAUCCUGAAGCCGUCGGAGUCUGUGUGCUGGUGCAAGGUCUGGGACAAGUUUAAGAAGAGAGAGGUGAGCUGGAGCUGAGGGGUGGGCGCGCAGGCUAACAGGAGGUCACCUCUGGAGAGUCAGAGGGCAAGGACGGGUGAAAGGCUCACGGCCACAGCGAAGGAAAUGCUGUCAUCACCCCUCCGCGAACACCUGGCACAUCCAGAUGAGCUGCUGAGCUUCCUCUUCUCCUGGCCUGAUAUCCCCGCCGGAUGGUAGUGCAGGCAGAACCUUAAUUGGUAAUAAAUCAAUAAGAAAUAUUUACAUUCACUCAGUGAAAAGUGUCAUGUCUGAGCUCAGCAUAUAUCGGAGCCACACAUGGACACCUCUCCCUCCUCCACUAAGAGCAGAAAAUGAACAAAUCCCAGGAACAAGUGUCAUUCAAGGAUGUAUGUGUGGACUUCACUCAGGAAGAGUGGUAUCUGCUGGACCCUGCUCAGAAGAUACUAUACAGAGAUGUGAUCCUGGAAAAUUAUAGCAAUCUUGUCUCAGUAGGGUAUUGCAUUACUAAACCAGAAGUGAUCUUUAAGAUCGAGCAAGGAGAAGAGCCCUGGAUAUUAGAGAAAGGAUUCCCAAGCCAGUGCCACCCAGAAAGGAAAUGGAAAGUUGAUGACAUGUUAGAGAGCAGCCAGGAAAAUGAAGAUGACCAUUUUUGGGAGCUUCUGUUCCACAACAACAAAACACAUUGAGCACUGAUGUGCCUUCACAGGAAACUUGGCCCAUGUGUUUCCAGGAUUCUUGAUGUUUCUUCUGAUCUCCAGGGUCAGGAAGUAUGAUUGAAGUUUCUAAGCCAGCUCAGGUUUCAGCUCCUUGGAAGAAAGCAGUUCUUGUGAAGUAAGAAGAAGGGGCCCUAGGAACAGGAAUCCCACCUUGAAGAUUGCUUGUCUAACCUGAACGUUGUUAGCCCAACUUCAGAGCAAAGUCAGGAAACUGCCAGAAAGGGCAGAGCCUGAUGGUUUGCACAGCCUGAAGUAAUUCUUCCUCCUGCUCAGAAUGAGUGGUGCUCUGUAAAUGUCAUCACAUCCAGAAGGUCUCCCCACUAUGAUGAAAGGUUUGGACCACAUCUCAGAAAAGAUAGGUAACUGGACUGAGUGGUAGCAAAGGGUAUGCUGGUGGAAAUAUUAAUCUUGGAGCAUUGGUGUGGGCACGGUCUGCAGGGAGAGAUCACUGGGCGUAGCUGGAGGAGUUCUAUCUCCAGUCUUUAACCAACAUGCCCCACAUUCAGUCUCCAUGGUCUUUGUCCAGAUUCUGAGCUGCUCUCAUACCAUGUCCAUUGUGAUAUGGGCCCUCUAGAGAUGUGGUGCCACCUUACGUACCCUGAUCCUAUAGAGGCAGAGAGUAGGGGUGUCUGUGUCUGCAUCAUUGCAAAGCUGAGAAACCUUGACUCUUGGAUGUGUAAGUAACCUGUCCAGACUCAUCCAGUUUGUAAAUGGCAGAGCAGGAAUAGAAAACACCCAUCCAUCUUAUAACAGGUAAGUCACCUGCCAAGUUCUGUUGCAACUGAGUUAGAAGCAAACAAUCUUAAAACAGACCUUUCCUCAAAGCACUCCCACCAUUUGCUGCAGCAUGAUUUCGUAAGAGUUAGCAACUCAGUAGGAAUGUAAGUAAACAAAUAUCCUGAGUAUUUCACCUACAGGAGUGAACAUGGCAGAUAACAAUUUGUCUUCUGAUAUAAUAUUAUUUGUUGAAUUAGUCCCAGAUUAGUUCUGAAAGAAAAAUGAAAUUGACCAUUAGGAAGUGAACCCAGUGAAAAGUUGCAUAGCCAACUUCUGUGAGAUCUUGUCAGAUUUACUUGUGUGAAUUCUCACUCAGCAUGGCUCUUGCUGUCUCCUCAAGGGCCAAAGAAACUUUUUCCCAUAGAUGAGUGUUUAACCAGUUGGUGAGCAGCAGUUUUUAGGAAGCUGAAUCUCAAAGGUCCAUAGCAGGCCAGAUCUCGCAUGACCACCCCUGUGUUCUCCCAUAACUGUACAUUCAGCUUCCCCUGCACUUUCCCAAGAGCAAUAGAAAAAAAGCAAAUACCAGGUGAGUUGUUUAUUCUUUUCUCAUGUUUCCAUUGCAUAAAAUAAGAUUAACAUGAUAAAAAUUAUCAAGGAAUUUAUAGUUAACAGAUCUAAAAUAGGGAAAAGUCAACAUAUUAAUUAUAAAGACAUCAAGAUAAUUACAAUAGUUUUAUUUUAGUGUGUAUAUAUUAUACAUUGUGUCGUAUAACUGUAAUUAUUAGUAACAUGCAGACUUAUCUCUGAUAUUCUGUGCAAAAGGAAAGUGCUUUGUUUUGACUAUAAGAAUAAACAAAAGAGGCCGGGUGUGGUGGCUCAUGCCUGUAAUCCCAGCACUUUGGGAGGCCGAGGUGGGUGGAUCAUUUGAGAUCAAGAGUUUGAGACCAGCUUGGCCAUAUGGUGAGACCCAGUAUCUACUAAAUAUACAAAAAUUAGUCAGGUGUGGUGGCGUGUGCCUGUAAUCCCAGCUACUCAGGAGGCUGAGGUAGGAGAAUCGCUUGAACCCUGGAGGCAGAGGUUGCAGUGAGCUGAGAUUUUGCCACUGCACUCCAGAGUCUGCGUGACAGAAUGAGACUCUGUCUCAAAAAAAAAAAAAAAAAAAAAAGAAUAAACAAAAGUAAUUCUUCAUGGAACACAAAGACUUCCUGGCCUGAAGUCUAAGAAAAUGUCUUUAACUCUCUUCAUGAAAGUGAUGGAGUUGACACCCUCAGUUAACAAGCCUGAAAUGCAUGCUGCCUGUGAUUGCCAUGCUGUUUGUUCUUUAGUGGCACAGAAGGCAGAAAGUCAAAGGACAGCUCAAUUGAUCCAGUUGGUGGAUUUCUUCUGUCUGCUUCAUGUGCUUGUCUUCCUGGAGUUUUAUAGCCUAGCAUAUCCCCAGGUGUUUUAUAACUCUUACCCUAUUUUUCUUGACUGAUUACAUGCUCUCUAGAUUUUUAACUGUAUCAAAGGAUAAGAUAACCCCUCGCCCCAAGUAUUUACCCAUAUUUACAUAAUACAUUCUUUUUAUCUGCUUUAUCUUUCAGCCUCCACUGUGCUUAUUAUACAGUGGCAACUUCCCAAAGGGGUCUGAUAGUCCUUCAGUUCUUUCCUCAGCUAGUCCAUCAGCACACUGCCCACUUGGAGUUCAGUGGUGUCUGGUGGCAAUAUAUAUUAUAUACGUAACACACACAGACACACAGUGCAUACAGUUGGUUCUCACGUUGCACGAUAGUGUGGAGCUCUAAAAAUGGCUGUAAAAGCAGAAAUCAGACUAGAAAUCCUUUUUUUUUUUUUUCUUGAGACAGUCUCACUCUGUUGCCCAGGCUGGAGUGCAGUGGCAUGAUCACAACUCACUGCAGCAGCCUUGACCUCCCAGGCUCGAGAUCCUUGCAUCUCAGCCACCCAAGUAGCUGAGACUACAGGUGCAUGCCACCAUGCCUGGCUAAUUUUUGUGGGGUUUUUUUGUUUUUUGUUUUUUGUUUUUGGAGAGAUGGGGUCUCCCCAUAUUGCCUAGGUUGGUCUUGAACUCCUGGGCUCAAGCCAUCUGCCUGCCUUGGCCUCCCAAAGUGCUGGCAUUACAGGUUGUGAGCUACCACACCCAGCCUAGAAAUCUUAAUUGAUGGGAAGAAUUUCAGUUGUUCCAUUACCUUUAGAAAUGUUUGUCAAGGCCAGGCAGGGUGGCUCAUGCCUGUAAUCCUAGCACUUUGGGAGGCUGAGGCAUGUGGAUCACUUUGAGGCCAGGAGUUUGAGACCAGCCUGGCCAACAUGGUGAAACCCUGUCUCUACUAAAAAUACCAAGAAAAAAAGUUUGUCAAAACAUUAAAAAACACUUUUAUUAUUGGUUAUAAAUGUACAUGGAACGGAAAAAAUAGUACAAACUAGUAUUUAUUUAGUACCAAGUUCUCUGUCACUCAAUCCAGCUGCCUAGAAUGUCUUAAAUGGCAGUGGGGUCAGCAUUCCCAUGGUCAAUUGUUUCUUCUACACCUGCAUUGAUAUGUCCAGUUUGAAUUUCACUUCUGCUGUAAUCACUUUUCCUUUCUUUACUGCUCUCUCAUCUUUGUUUUGGCCAAUUUCCUUUUCCUUUUUUUUUUUUUUUUUUUUUGAGACACAGUCUUGGUCUGUUGCCCAGGCUGUAGUGCAGUGGCAUGAACUUGGCUCACUACAACCUCCACCUCCCAGGUUCAAGUGAUUAUCCUGCCUCAGCCUCCUGAGUAGCUGAGAUUACAGGUGCAUGCCACCACGCCUGACUGAUUUUUGUAUUUUUGGUAGAGAUGGGGUUUCACCAUGUUGGUCAGGCUGGUCUCGAACUCCUGACAUCGUGAUCCGCCUGCCUUGGCCUCCCAAAGUACUGGGAUUACAGGCAGAGCCUUGCUGUGUCAUCCAGAGCUGGACUGCAAUGGCAUGAUCUUGGCUCACUGCAACCUCUGCCUCUUGGGUUCAAGCAAUUCUCCUGCCUCAGCCCCCUCAGUAGCUGGGAUUACAGGCAUGCACCACCAUGCCAGGCUAAUUUUUGUACUUUUAGUAGAGACGGGGUUUCACCAUGUUGACCAGGUUGGUCUCGAGCUGCUGACCUCAUGAUCCACCUGCCUCAGUCCCCCAAAGUGCAGGGAUUACAAGCAUGAGCCACUGCACCCAGCCUAUAAUACUUUUAAUAAAGAAUAGCACUUUAGGUCAGGCACAGUGGCUCAUGCCUAUAAUCCCAGCAUUUUGGGAGGCCAAGUUGGGUGGAUAGAUUGAACCCAGGAGUUUGAGACCAGCCUGGGCAGCAUAGUGAAAGCCUGUCUCUACAAAAAAUUAUCUGGGCCUGGUGGCGUGUGCCUGUAGACCUGGCUACUCAGUAGGCUGAGGUGGGAGGAUUGCCUGAGCUCAGGGAAGUUGAGACUACAGUGAGCUGUGCAUUGCACCACUGCCCUCCAGCCUGGGCAACAGAGCAAGAUCCUCUUUCAAAAACAAAACAAAACAAAAAACCUAGCAUUUUCUAUUUCUUGAAGUUAUUCCCCCCAUAUAUUUUUGUUAAAGGUUUUAUCUACUCCAUUUGUUAGUUUCCCUCACCCCAUACAAAAGUUUUGCGUUCUCAUUGGAUUUGCAUUACCCUGAGGUGUAAAAACUUUUCCUUGCUUUCCAAGAUCAGGCCAGAAUCCAGGGAUUGGGACUCAGAUUGCACCUGCUUUUCUCUGUUCUGGACAGCUCCGCUCCUCAGAACCACCUCAACAUUACCAACUGCCUUGGGGUCAGCUCCCUGAGCCCUGAUUUUUCCUCCUCCCUGCCUAGUGGUUCUUCCACAGCAGGUCUGUCUUCAUUUCCAGCAAAUGGAAGCCUCAUCUGGACACCGAUGCAUCUCCAGGUUUUCUUUCUGUCUUCAGGAUGCCACAAUUUGGAGUUAUGUGUGAUUCUAUUCAGAGCAGAUUUUCCCACUCUGAAUGUGGAGACAAUAUUGGACCUUUGGGCUCUAACCUCAACUUGCUAUUUGCUUGUCUGACUGAGCAACAUUCUAACGACUGCUUACCUGCCUACUAAUCUUUACUACAAAGGCUCUGUCUUAUUGGUUAGCUGACAGCUUUCACUAAGCCAUCUCUCUGACCAUAGUUAUCUGUGUGACAAACAGAGAUGAAUGGAUUAAGGGCUUUUGCCAGGGUGAGUGGCUGGGUGAUAAUUUCUCUCCUCAUUCUUCACAGCUCUGGAACACAUCCCCUGCUCCUGCCUCCGCACCUUCUCCCGUCUGGAACACGUUAAGGGGUUUCAUAAGCAGAUGUAACUUAGCAUACUUCCUGACCUGGCACCCAAUAUACAGUUUCAUGAACUUGUUCAUAUAUGAACUGCAUAUUUCUGGGGAGUGUGUUGAUAGCUUCCAUCAUACUCUCAGAAGAGUCAAUAAACCAAGAACCACAGCAAAAACAAGACCCUCAGAAAACUCUCAGAUGGUUUAGACUGCCCCAAACGCCACUUGACUGCUUUUCUUUUUAAAUUUAUUAUACUUUUUUACAUGGGUCUAGCAACCAAAAGAAUGUUUUACUGCUUUUCAAAUCUGGUCUGAGAGCCAAGUUUUAGAGUUGGAGUUGAGAAUCAGGGCUGCAUGUUAACAUUGUUGGCUGAGAGAAACCUGCGUAAGUGGCUUCCAAGAGAGGCCCAAGGGAGUCCAUCUGACCCUUCCUUGCCUAGUGGUCUCCUUUAGCACAGCACAGCGGAGCAUUCUCUCUGUAGCUCAUUCAGAGCCCUUUCGCUCUGAACUGAGAGAUAAAGAAUAAGAUGCCAGAUGUGUUUCUGCAUUGGGAUAAGUAAGGACAACGCAUAUUCUGUGGGAAGGAUAGCUUUUACACCCAGAACUGUCUGAGAUUUUACAGUUAAGCUACAUCAAAAACAUUAAAAACAGGGAAACAAAAAUAUCAAGUAAGAAUGAAUCUAGUAGAAAUAUCUCAAAAGAUAAUAAUAAUAUGAUUAUGUAUUUGUACUUUGUGUUAAUUAUUUGUGAAAUAUUUUUCUUGCAUGAGGCAAUACAGGCAACUCCUGCUUCUUUGAGCAGAAUGAGAAUUUAGUUUAAAGAUAUAGGGGAGAAAAUAGAAUAAGUACAGUGGCAUUGGAUUGGAAUAGGUGUUAUUUUGAGUAUAUGAUUUUCAUUAAAAUAAGAAAUAUGUAAAAA
Symphalangus syndactylus (siamang) is the source of this 7102-nucleotide RNA transcript. It is a transcript of the gene named zinc finger protein 248, with no coding region annotated. The record is from RefSeq and is a predicted model, not a curated record. NCBI's taxonomy places the organism in Eukaryota, Metazoa, Chordata, Mammalia, Primates, Hylobatidae.